GCCCGGGUGGUGAAAUGGUAGACACGGAAGACUCAAAAUCUUCUGCUGAGAGGCGUGUCGGUUCGAGUCCGACCCCGGGUACCA
Molecule: transfer RNA, 84 nt
Filed under: Burkholderia pseudomallei
Lineage: Bacteria; Pseudomonadati; Pseudomonadota; Betaproteobacteria; Burkholderiales; Burkholderiaceae
Description: tRNA-Leu(caa)
Rfam family: tRNA
About the family: Transfer RNA (tRNA) molecules are approximately 80 nucleotides in length. Their secondary structure includes four short double-helical elements and three loops (D, anti-codon, and T loops). Further hydrogen bonds mediate the characteristic L-shaped molecular structure. tRNAs have two regions of fundamental functional importance: the anti-codon, which is responsible for specific mRNA codon recognition, and the 3' end, to which the tRNAs corresponding amino acid is attached (by aminoacyl-tRNA synthetases). tRNAs cope with the degeneracy of the genetic code in two manners: having more than one tRNA (with a specific anti-codon) for a particular amino acid; and 'wobble' base-pairing, i.e. permitting non-standard base-pairing at the 3rd anti-codon position.
Source: RNAcentral